Non-coding RNA from Gossypium hirsutum (cotton), 145 nucleotides. Lineage: Eukaryota; Viridiplantae; Streptophyta; Magnoliopsida; Malvales; Malvaceae. The record is from Rfam.
UGCUAAAAAAUUCUGUUAUUUGUACGGUUAAAAACUUACGUGGUUGACUGAACAACUAGAAAGUGACACGUGACGUGCUAUGUGUACCUUAUGUUGAUGUACAAUGACUAGUUUUUAAUAGAAGAAUUGGAUGGAAUUUUUAAUA